UGCGCGCGCGGGGUUGCUUCCCUCACCAGGAGUUGGGCAUCGUCUCCCUCGUCGUCUUCUUCGUCCUCGGCGUCGCUCUCCUCGCCCUCUGCGUCCAGUGUCACAGGAACAGUGCCGACGCCUACGACGUGAACAUGGGCACAAUGUCUAAAGGAGCGAAGACACCCAAGAAGACCCCCACUGCCAAGACAGGAGGAGCCGCGGUUCCAGACCCGGGGGUGGCAACCGACACAACAUGGAGGAACUACAAGAACAUGCCUCCCAGCACUUUAGAGAGAGA
Non-coding RNA from Gasterosteus aculeatus aculeatus (three-spined stickleback), 280 nucleotides. NCBI's taxonomy places the organism in Eukaryota, Metazoa, Chordata, Actinopteri, Perciformes, Gasterosteidae. The record is from RefSeq and is a predicted model, not a curated record.